GUCAGCAGCCAUACCAUCUGAAGGUUAGACUAGGCAAUCCACCUGAAUCUAAGCAGGCUUGAGCCAGGCCUGUGCUUGGAUGGAAGACCAACUGGGAAAGCUGGGAUGCUGCUGGAA
This 117-nucleotide ribosomal RNA is filed under the name Paramormyrops kingsleyae. Lineage: Eukaryota; Metazoa; Chordata; Actinopteri; Osteoglossiformes; Mormyridae. The record is from RNAcentral.